This 73-nucleotide microRNA precursor is filed under the name Pristionchus pacificus. RNAcentral describes it as "mir-8364 microRNA precursor family". It matches the Rfam family "mir-8364 microRNA precursor family". The record is from Rfam by way of RNAcentral. Lineage: Eukaryota; Metazoa; Nematoda; Chromadorea; Rhabditida; Neodiplogasteridae.
UCUUCAUUUCACACACUCUCUCACCGGUCAGAGAGGCGAGAGAGAGAGAGAGAGAGAGUGCGAAAUGAAGAGA